This 253-nucleotide ribosomal RNA is filed under the name uncultured bacterium. RNAcentral describes it as "partial 16S ribosomal RNA". It matches the Rfam family "Bacterial small subunit ribosomal RNA", at positions 524 to 776 of the family's 1533-position model. The record is from RNAcentral.
UACGAAGGGGGCUAGCGUUGUUCGGAAUUACUGGGCGUAAAGCGCGCGCAGGCGGCUAUCCAAGUCAGUGGUGAAAGCCCGGAGCUCAACUCCGGAACUGCCAUUGAAACUGUUUAGCUUGAGGACGAGAGAGGUGAGUGGAAUUCCCAGUGUAGAGGUGAAAUUCGUAGAUAUUGGGAAGAACACCGGUGGCGAAGGCGGCGACCUGGUCCUUGACUGACGCUGAGGCGCGAAAGCGUGGGGAGCGAACAGG